This 1247-nucleotide ribosomal RNA is filed under the name 'Zinnia violacea' phytoplasma. Its description in RNAcentral is "bacterial SSU rRNA". It matches the Rfam family "Bacterial small subunit ribosomal RNA", at positions 152 to 1399 of the family's 1533-position model. Lineage: Bacteria; Bacillati; Mycoplasmatota; Mollicutes; Acholeplasmatales; Acholeplasmataceae. The record is from RNAcentral.
GGAAACGACUGCUAAGACUGGAUAGGAGACAAGAAGGCAUCUUCUUGUUUUUAAAAGACCUAGCAAUAGGUAUGCUUAGGGAGGAGCUUGCGUCACAUUAGUUAGUUGGUGGGGUAAAGGCCUACCAAGACUAUGAUGUGUAGCCGGGCUGAGAGGUUGAACGGCCACAUUGGGACUGAGACACGGCCCAAACUCCUACGGGAGGCAGCAGUAGGGAAUUUUCGGCAAUGGAGGAAACUCUGACCGAGCAACGCCGCGUGAACGAUGAAGUAUUUCGGUACGUAAAGUUCUUUUAUUAGGGAAGAAUAAAUGAUGGAAAAAUCAUUCUGACGGUACCUAAUGAAUAAGCCCCGGCUAACUAUGUGCCAGCAGCCGCGGUAAUACAUAGGGGGCAAGCGUUAUCCGGAAUUAUUGGGCGUAAAGGGUGCGUAGGCGGUUAAAUAAGUUUAUGGUCUAAGUGCAAUGCUCAACAUUGUGAUGCUAUAAAAACUGUUUAGCUAGAGUAAGAUAGAGGCAAGUGGAAUUCCAUGUGUAGUGGUAAAAUGCGUAAAUAUAUGGAGGAACACCAGUAGCGAAGGCGGCUUGCUGGGUCUUUACUGACGCUGAGGCACGAAAGCGUGGGGAGCAAACAGGAUUAGAUACCCUGGUAGUCCACGCCGUAAACGAUGAGUACUAAACGUUGGGUAAAACCAGUGUUGAAGUUAACACAUUAAGUACUCCGCCUGAGUAGUACGUACGCAAGUAUGAAACUUAAAGGAAUUGACGGGACUCCGCACAAGCGGUGGAUCAUGUUGUUAAAUUCGAAGGUACCCGAAAAACCUCACCAGGUCUUGACAUGCUUCUGCAAAGCUGUAAAAACACAGUGGAGGUUAUCAGUUGCACAGGUGGUGCAUGGUUGUCGUCAGCUCGUGUCGUGAGAUGUUGGGUUAAGUCCCGCAACGAGCGCAACCCUUAUUGUUAGUUACCAGCACGUAAUGGUGGGGACUUUAGCAAGACUGCCAGUGAUAAAUUGGAGGAAGGUGGGGACGACGUCAAAUCAUCAUGCCCCUUAUGACCUGGGCUACAAACGUGAUACAAUGGCUGUUACAAAGGGUAGCUGAAGCGCAAGUUUUUGGCGAAUCUCAAAAAAACAGUCUCAGUUCGGAUUGAAGUCUGCAACUCGACUUCAUGAAGUUGGAAUCGCUAGUAAUCGCGAAUCAGCAUGUCGCGGUGAAUACGUUCUCGGGGUUUGUACACACCGCCCGUCA